This 253-nucleotide ribosomal RNA is filed under the name uncultured bacterium. RNAcentral describes it as "partial 16S ribosomal RNA". It matches the Rfam family "Bacterial small subunit ribosomal RNA", at positions 524 to 776 of the family's 1533-position model. The record is from RNAcentral.
UACGGAGGGUGCUAGCGUUGUUCGGAAUCACUGGGCGUAAAGGGCGUGUAGGCGGUCUGUUAAGUCUGAUGUGAAAUCCCCUCGCUCAACGAGGGAACUGCGUCGGAUACUGGCAGACUUGAGUACCGGAGAGGAAGGUGGAAUUCCCGGUGUAGCGGUGAAAUGCGUAGAUAUCUGGAGGAACACCGGUGGCGAAGGCGGCAUCCUGGACCGGCAUUGACGCUGAGGCGCGAAAGCCAGGGGAGCAAACGGG